This 418-nucleotide ribosomal RNA is filed under the name Priestia megaterium. RNAcentral describes it as "bacterial SSU rRNA". It matches the Rfam family "Bacterial small subunit ribosomal RNA", at positions 614 to 1028 of the family's 1533-position model. Lineage: Bacteria; Bacillati; Bacillota; Bacilli; Caryophanales; Bacillaceae. The record is from RNAcentral.
CGGGGAGGGUCAUUGGAAACUGGGGAACUUGAGUGCCGAAGAGAAAAGUGCAAUUCCACGUGUAGCGGUGAAAUGCGUAGAGAUGUGGAGGAACACCAGUGGCGAACGCGGCUUUUUGGUCUGUAACUGACGCUGAGGAGCGAAAGCGUGGGGAGCGAACAGGAUUACAUACCCUGGUCCUCCACGCCGUAAACGAUGAGUGCUAAGUGUUAGACGGUUUCCGCCCUUUAGUGCUGCAGCUAACGCAUUACGCACUCCGCCUGGGGAGUACGGUCGCAAGACUGAAACUCUAAGGAAUUGACGGGCGCCCGCACAAGCGGUGGAUCAUGUGGUUUAAUUCGAAGCAACGCUAAGAACCUUACCAGGUCUUGACAUCCUCUGACAAUCCUAGAGAUCGUCCGUUCCCUUCCGGGGGACA